AUUUAAAUCGAAUGAAAUACUCUUCAAUGAGAAACUACAAUAAACAAUGCCAGAAUUUCCAGGAAACACAAAAACAAGAAUCACUCAUAAACUCGAAACCAACCAGAAGAAGAGUAUAAUUUCGUUAGAAGGCAAUCAAGAUAAUUUCUACCAAUAAAUAGUAACAUGAAUUAUGAAGCGUGACAUUAACGCAAGUCGACAGUACUUUCCGAAAAAAUAUAUUUUUUGUUCUACCUUGGA
Schizosaccharomyces pombe (fission yeast) is the source of this 240-nucleotide non-coding RNA. The record is from the annotation of a GenBank genome assembly. Lineage: Eukaryota; Fungi; Ascomycota; Schizosaccharomycetes; Schizosaccharomycetales; Schizosaccharomycetaceae.